AAGCAUUGAAGAUGUGAGAGAACGUGACAUUAUCAGCAGCAACCUGUAUGAUAUGCGCCUCAGCUCCAUCAGGAGGAAGAGCACCGAGUCAGGGAACGAAAACACCUACGAGACUAAUCUGGACGCCUUCAGGAGCAAAGAUGCACCAAACGCCUUCAACAACCUGGCAGCCGACAUCAAUGGCAAGACAACCUCCAUGUGACUGCCCUGCAGAGAGUCUAUUGGCUGUCUCAACAUGGAGUCUGGAGAG
Molecule: long non-coding RNA, 250 nt
Organism: Pundamilia nyererei
Lineage: Eukaryota; Metazoa; Chordata; Actinopteri; Cichliformes; Cichlidae
Exons: 3
Source: RefSeq, a predicted model, not a curated record